UGUACUGCCAGUCGAUGAUAAAUAUACCUAUCUGCACUAUAUAUUGGUGUGAACCUUUGCUCCUUGCGGUGGAGUCGCGCAGCAACUGAUGAGCGACAAGUCAUCGAUCAGAAGCUGUUCAUUACUCCACCCAUCGUGCGGCGUUGUAGAACGAACUCUCAAUUCUGUAUAAGCGAAGUAGACAAACGUAGUGAUGAUGAUGAUGAUGAUGAUGAUGAUGAAUAACGUGUGUCUUCAUCCAUGUUACAUCGUUCAUCGUGCUUGGUUCAUAACGUAAAUGCCGCCUGUUUCUGUACUGCAAGCACAAUGCUACAAGUAGUUGCGCAAUCUUGUCACAAUUUUACAUUAAUACACUCCCAAUUAGAACCCAAUUAUGGUGAAAUGAUAUCGACACGUAGGAUUGUUUUUCGCGUCGUUCUUGGUGGGUGAAUGAACAAACGAUUCGUUUAAAUAGACAUUAGGUGCUUCAACUGCAAUGGAGAUGUACAACAAUUGUGAGCCAUAGCAUGCGGGGUGUGGUUCGUUGUUGUGCGCGAUUCGCGUUUAAUAAUGGAUAGAUCCUAAUGAAUGGAUAACAGCGCCGUGAUAUCGCGCUUGAGAGCAGAACGAGCCGGCGUCCGCCGCGAAUGAGAAACGCUGCUACAGUUGGGUUGUUGGGAAUUCGAAUAGUGUCAAGACCCGACUAACGACUAGGAGAGGCCUGGCCACGGUGACGGGAGUGGGGACAAAGGAACGGCAAUAGUAGACGAUUGGGGAAAACAACUUUGCGCGAGUAAGAGGGCGCUGAGUAAGAACGCACAGCAGUUUUAGGCAAUCGAAACGAUAGGGUCGCGGCGCGCGAGAAACAGCCAAGCAGGGGACGGGAAACGGGAGGGUGAGGCAACGGGGGCUCUGACAUAAAUCUCGUCCAUAUUUCAUCGGGAUCAACGGCGAACGGCGGGAGGGCUCAGCAGCCGUAGCAGAAGCGUUCAUUUGGGCAAGCGAUCUAGCCAUAUAGCUAUUCAGCACUAGGAAAGUACGCAGAGAGCCUGCCGGCCCCGCGUGUUCGUUUGUUGAAUGUCGGCUUCGUUCUUGCUAAGGGUGGGUAUGCUCUAGCUAGGGAGGCAGGCAGGUAGCAUGUGUUAGCUUUGUCGGCCCUCUCCCUGGAGGUUCGUCCUGUUGGCCGCUCGUGUCUUUCGCUCGGAGUUCCCAUCUUGCUCUAUGCUUCUAGACAGAUCCCUCGCUCGGCGAACAGAUCUAGACCGGGGCACCCGGAGGAUAUGAGAGGAAACUAGAGGUUGUGAGUAGCCGAGGGUGAAAAGGAGAGAAAAGACACAGGCGUAGCUGCUAAGAGUAAAGCUGAUCGGACAACACGCGCUCGUUCAUUUUCUCCUUGACGACCGUGUUCCUCCAUGUCUGCAUGCAUGUAAUAAUGGUGUCGUCUGCUAUGAUGAGGAUCCCUUGUUUGCAAUAUUGAAUAUCUUCAGGUCUGAACGAGCGUCGGAACGAAUUUCCCUUUAUUUGGUAUCAGCAAACAACACAGAGGUGCGGCUGAAGAGAGAGGGCCGUGGAAAGGGCAGUCUUUGGCGGCGCAGGGGUUGGGGAGAGGCAGGGGUAAUGAGGUGCACGACAUCGAGGCAGCAUUGUGGGGGGCAAGUAGAGAUCACCUGGGAUCGCUAUGAGGCUCUUGCCUUCCAGCGGCGGUAUUCCUGGACCGUACCUCCUUCCUCGCUCGCGAUGCCGGACAAAAUUAGAGGUUUGCUGGUGGUAAUGUCUGAUAGCGAGAGAACGAGAUUAGUCUCUUUUUAAC
RNAcentral lists this long non-coding RNA (1789 nucleotides) under Varroa destructor (honeybee mite). Its description in RNAcentral is "uncharacterized LOC111250897". The record is from RNAcentral. Lineage: Eukaryota; Metazoa; Arthropoda; Arachnida; Mesostigmata; Varroidae.